This 533-nucleotide ribosomal RNA is filed under the name uncultured bacterium. RNAcentral describes it as "bacterial SSU rRNA". It matches the Rfam family "Bacterial small subunit ribosomal RNA", at positions 777 to 1302 of the family's 1533-position model. The record is from RNAcentral.
AAUAGAUACCCAGGUAGUCCACGCCGUAAACGAUGAGUGCUAAGUGUUAGAGGGUUUCCGCCCUUUAGUGCUGCAGCUAACGCAUUAAGCACUCCGCCUGGGGGAGUACGGUCGCAAGACUGAAACUCAAAGGAAGUUGACGGGGGCCCGCACAAGCGGUGGAGCAUGUGGUUUAAUUCGAAGCAACGCGAAGAACCUUACCAGGUCUUGACAUCCUCUGACAACUCUAGAGAUAGAGCGUUCCCCGUUCGGGGGACAGAGUGACAGGUGGUGCAUGGUUGUCGUCAGCUCGUGUCGUGAGAUGUUGGGUUAAGUCCCGCAACGAGCGCAACCCUUGAUCUUAGUUGCCAGCAUUUAGUUGGGCACUCUAAGGUGACUGCCGGUGACAAACCGGGAGGAAGGUGGGGAUGACGUCAAAUCAUCAUGCCCCGUUAUGACCUGGGCUACACACGUGCUACAAUGGAUGGUACAAAGGGCUGCAAGCCGCGAGGUCAAGCCAAUCCCAUAAAAACCCAUUCUCAGUUCGGAUUGGU